RNAcentral lists this ribosomal RNA (443 nucleotides) under uncultured bacterium. Its description in RNAcentral is "partial 16S ribosomal RNA". It matches the Rfam family "Bacterial small subunit ribosomal RNA", at positions 338 to 795 of the family's 1533-position model. The record is from RNAcentral.
CCUACGGGGGGCAGCAGUGGGGGAUAUUGGACAAUGGGGGGAACCCUGAUCCAGCGACGCCGCGUGAGUGAAGAAGUAUUUCGGUAUGUAAAGCUCUGUCAGCAGGGAAGAAAGAAAUGACGGUACCUGACCAAGAAGCCCCGGCUAACUACGUGCCAGCAGCCGCGGUAAUACGUAGGGGGCAAGCGUUAUCCGGAUUUACUGGGUGUAAAGGGAGCGUAGACGGCAGCACAAGUCUGGAGUGAAAUGCCGGGGCUUAACCCCGGAACUGCUUUGGAAACUGUGCAGCUAGAGUGCAGGAGAGGUAAGUGGAAUUCCUAGUGUAGCGGUGAAAUGCGUAGAUAUUAGGAGGAACACCAGUGGCGAAGGCGGCUUACUGGACUGUAACUGACGUUGAGGCUCGAAAGCGUGGGGAGCAAACAGGAUUAGAUACCCCUGUAGUC